AAUAUGUCGAACUAGUUUAAAUAUUUUUGUGUUUGUGACAUGUUGGUAAAGUUGGCGCGGAAAAACUCCUCUCAGUAUUUAUCGAAUAGAAAUAUUUGUGGGCGAAAAGAAACGAAGUAUUUAAUUGUUGAAAUGUUUCGAACAGUAAAAGCCAUACUGUGGUUCUCUAAUGGUAGAAAUUGUUCAUCCCCACUGAAUUUAUAGUAGAAUUCCGAUGAUAUGGCAUGUUUGGAACUUUGGCAAUGCGGGAUUGUCUGACUGUAUCCGCAGUGCAGAGAAAAUGGAGAACAUGAUUUCGCAAACGGUAGUAAUGAAGCUUAUUAGCAACAAUGAAACGAAUGAAUCUGGACUCCGGAGAUAGACUGCAUUAAGAGACAUGUUUGCAGAAUUUAAAAGAGUUCAAAUCAAAAAUGUAGAUCACGGUCACAAAAUGGGUUGUUUUGGGAGCAAAGAUAAGUUGAGUAAAGAGGACAUGGAUUUCCUCAAGUCACACACAAGAUAUGAUGAAGCAACCAUAAAGGAAUGGUACAAAGGGUUUAAACAAGACUGCCCGAAUGGUAGGUUAACGCCAGCGAAAUUCGUCGACAUGUACAAAAUGUUCUUCCCCUCUGGCAACGCGGAGGAAUUCUGUGAUCACGUCUUCCGUACAUUCGACAUGGACAAGAAUGGCUACAUCGAUUUCAAGGAGUUUCUGUUGGCCAUUGAUGUUACAUCUAGUGGUACGCCAGAAGAAAAAUUGAAAUGGGCUUUCCGCAUGUACGAUGUUGAUGGAAAUGGCGUCAUCGACAUUCAGGAAAUGACAAAAAUUGUGCAGGCGAUAUACGACAUGCUGGGCGCGUGUUCAAGUAAUAGACCGGCAGACAGUGCGGAGGAAAGAGCGAAAAACAUUUUCGCAAAGAUGGACGAGAAUAACGACGGUCAGCUAACUCAAGAAGAAUUUCUGAAAGGUUGCCUCCAAGACGAGGAGCUGUCAAAGAUGCUGGCCCCCUAAUUCGCAUACCAUUUUUCGGGAUCAGUCAUCGAUACGCUACUACCAAAAGACGUUCGGGCAACAUCGACAAAAACAAACGACAAACGAACGAUUUUUAUUACGAAACCUAACCUCACUCACGAUACGGCCGCUACGGCUUGAUCGGACGCCUACGGUUACCGGACAAAAACGAACACGAAGAACACGUUCGAACAAUAAUCUCAAAUCGAGUCGUCGAAUCACGUAAUUUUGAGAACAGUUAACUCACCGGAAAAAACGAUUCGUCGAUGGAACACGAACUAUGCCGAGAGAAGAAAGAAGAACUCAUCGGACGCGGCGGCAGCUUUUGAAAAUCUCGAAAUGGUGGGAAGAUUAUCGACGGAGAAAAUGUUUCGGUUUAUCGCCAUCUUGAUUCUAGCUAAACUGGAAAUGGCUUCUGGUUGUACGACCAGAUCGUAAUUGUGGAACUUUAACGGACGUUUCUCGUGAGAUCGAUGUUUCAAGGCGUGUCUGGUGAAAAGUCCCAGCCACGAAGUGCUGUUCCAUACGGCACCAGUAGAAUAGUACAACUAGUUAGCCC
Molecule: unclassified non-coding RNA, 1550 nt
Filed under: Megachile rotundata (alfalfa leafcutting bee)
Lineage: Eukaryota; Metazoa; Arthropoda; Insecta; Hymenoptera; Megachilidae
Description: neuronal calcium sensor 2, transcript variant X3
Source: RNAcentral